Molecule: unclassified non-coding RNA, 220 nt
Filed under: Glomeraceae sp.
Lineage: Eukaryota; Fungi; Glomeromycota; Glomeromycetes; Glomerales; Glomeraceae
Description: partial contains 5.8S ribosomal RNA and internal transcribed spacer 2
Rfam family: 5.8S ribosomal RNA (bases 1-71)
Source: RNAcentral
GUGAAUCAUCAAAUCUUUGAACGCAAAUUGCACUCCCUGGUAUUCCGGGGAGCAUGCCCGUUUGAGGGUCAGUUUAAAUCACAAACGGUGUGGUCGCGGCUUUUCGUGGUGCUGCACCGGUUUUGGGUCGUCAUGUUUUCGGUUAAGCGACCGAAAAUUUUGCAUGAUUUUUUUUGAACGUAUUUAAAUGAUUUUACGUACGUUUGAGCUAUUGUUUAUU